This 493-nucleotide ribosomal RNA is filed under the name uncultured bacterium. RNAcentral's name for it is "bacterial SSU rRNA". It matches the Rfam family "Bacterial small subunit ribosomal RNA", at positions 28 to 516 of the family's 1533-position model. The record is from RNAcentral.
GAUGAACGCUAGCGGCAGGCUUAAUACAUGCAAGUCGUGGGGCAGCACAGGUAGCAAUACUAGGUGGCGACCGGCAAACGGGUGCGUAACACGUACGCAACUUUCCUUUAAGCGGGGAAUAGCCCAGGGAAACUUGGAUUAAUACCCCAUAAAAUUUUGAGAUGGCAUCAUCUUAUUAUUAAAGCUUCGGCACUUAAAGAUGGGCGUGCGGCUGAUUAGGUAGUUGGCGGGGUAACGGCCCACCAAGCCUUCGAUCAGUAGCUGAUGUGAGAGCAUGAUCAGCCACACGGGCACUGAGACACGGGCCCGACUCCUACGGGAGGCAGCAGUAAGGAAUAUUGGUCAAUGGACGAAAGUCUGAACCAGCCAUGCCGCGUGAAGGAUGAAGGUCCUCUGGAUUGUAAACUUCUUUUAUUUGGGACGAAAAAAGGGUUUUCUAACUCACUUGACGGUACCAGAUGAAUAAGCACCGGCUAACUCCGUGCCAGCAGCC